UCGUUUUUGUCUUUGGUUAUCUAGCUGUAUGAGUGUUAAAUACCUGUCAUAAAGCUAGAUAACCGAAAGUAGAAAUGACUUUUACUGUUUUCAUUCCUGAGAGGAAGAUCUUCAGAGAGAUUUUAUUUUGAAAAAAGAGGCGUCAUUGAAAAGCAAGAGGAGAGAGGAGUCCGGAUUUACCGCCUCUUCCCGCCCGUUCGUCGAUGCCAUCUGCGUUGCCAGCGGAGGCUCUCUGCCCGUGCCAGGAGUCAGACAAAGAGCCUCCCCAGAUCCCCGAAGAGAUGGCCGCACUCGCAGGAGCCAUCUUGGGGGGGAGAUGUUUGCCGCGGCACCUAAAAUGGCUGGGCUGGCACUCGAGGAUGGAUCAGGCCACGUCAACAUCUCCGCUUCUCUAAAAUGGGAUCAUGAGGACCAACUUCUCGUCAAACUCGUUGGAAAAGCGUGAAACUCGACCGUACUCUGAAUGAAGAACCCAGGAUGUGUCGUCUAAAAUCAAAUGAUAUUGAGAUUGUGUUACUGCAAAAAUAAAUCAAUUAUCAGUUUAGAUUUAGAAUGCUGUACAAUAAUAAUAUUAAUCAUGACUUAUUUUUGUGAAAAAACAAAAAUGUGAUUAAAAAUAUGCAGGAGUUAUAGCUGUUGAAAGAAUGCUUUAUUCCAAAAAUGCAUAUUUUGUGUUAUAAUCCUUAUCUAGUAUAAUAAGCUAAAAAAAUGCUGUUUUUUGUUGUUGUAUUUGUUUUACAAUUUAUUGUUGAUUAAAAUAUCCAGUUUGUUUAAAAAAACAUCAAUGUAUUUUUUUAUCUUAGCCAAAUUGUGUAAAAAUCUCAUUUCUGUUGUCUCCAAUAAGAUAAAAUAAACUAUUUAUGACACUCA
Oryzias melastigma (Indian medaka) is the source of this 870-nucleotide long non-coding RNA. RefSeq lists it as uncharacterized. The record is from RefSeq and is a predicted model, not a curated record. The transcript is spliced from 3 exons. Lineage: Eukaryota; Metazoa; Chordata; Actinopteri; Beloniformes; Adrianichthyidae.